UACAGGGGGGGCAAGCGUUGUUCGGAAUUACUGGGCGUAAAGGGUCUGUAGGUGGCCAACUAAGUCAGACGUGAAAUCCCUCAGCUUAACUGGGGAACUGCGUCUGAUACUGGAUGGCUUGAGUGUGGGAGAGGAAUGCGGAAUUCCAGGUGUAGCGGUGAAAUGCGUAGAUAUCAGGAAGAACACCCGUGGCUAAGGCGGCUCUCUAGUACGGUACUGACGCUGAGACGCGAAAGCGUGGGGAGCGAACAGG
RNAcentral lists this ribosomal RNA (253 nucleotides) under uncultured bacterium. RNAcentral's name for it is "partial 16S ribosomal RNA". It matches the Rfam family "Bacterial small subunit ribosomal RNA", at positions 524 to 776 of the family's 1533-position model. The record is from RNAcentral.